Molecule: ribosomal RNA, 304 nt
Filed under: uncultured bacterium
Lineage: Bacteria
Description: partial 16S ribosomal RNA
Rfam family: Bacterial small subunit ribosomal RNA
Source: RNAcentral
CAGCAGCAGCCACGGUAAUACGGAGGGUGCAAGCGUUAUCCGGAUUUAUUGGGUUUAAAGGGUCCGUAGGCGGAUCUGUAAGUCAGUGGUGAAAUCUCACAGCUUAACUGUGAAACUGCCAUUGAUACUGCAGGUCUUGAGUAAAUUUGAAGUGGCUGGAAUAAGUAGUGUAGCGGUGAAAUGCAUAGAUAUUACUUAGAACACCAAUUGCGAAGGCAGGUCACUAAGAUUUAACUGACGCUGAUGGACGAAAGCGUGGGGAGCGAACAGGAUUAGAUACCCGCGUAGUCCCUGUCUCUUAUAC